UGUGCAGUUUCCUGUACAUCUCCUUGUGUAUCUGGGGUCACUCCAUCUGGGCGCUAUGGCUUUUGUCUGCAUUUAAAACAACAGUG
Molecule: long non-coding RNA, 86 nt
Filed under: Dipodomys ordii (Ord's kangaroo rat)
Lineage: Eukaryota; Metazoa; Chordata; Mammalia; Rodentia; Heteromyidae
Description: Six3os1 conserved region 1 (ENSDORG00000025795.1)
Rfam family: Six3os1 conserved region 1
Source: RNAcentral